UUUUUUCCUCAAAUCAAGUAAGACUACCCGCUGAACUUAAGCAUAUCAAU
Molecule: ribosomal RNA, 50 nt
Filed under: Kodamaea ohmeri
Lineage: Eukaryota; Fungi; Ascomycota; Pichiomycetes; Serinales; Debaryomycetaceae
Description: partial 28S ribosomal RNA
Source: RNAcentral